UAUAACGAAUUGCUAUUAUUAUAGUGUUUUAUGCUAUUGCUAGUUCGAAGGGAGUAUUAAACGUUCUACCAGGAGAGGUAUUGUUCGGUAUCAAUAGGGAUAUAAAAAAAGCGCCUUGCGGCGCUUUUUUU
RNAcentral lists this small RNA (131 nucleotides) under Kluyvera ascorbata. Its description in RNAcentral is "Enterobacteria sRNA STnc130". It matches the Rfam family "Enterobacteria sRNA STnc130". The record is from RNAcentral. Lineage: Bacteria; Pseudomonadati; Pseudomonadota; Gammaproteobacteria; Enterobacterales; Enterobacteriaceae.